GGUGGAGACCAUUUCUUGGUCAAAAAUCCGUAGGUGUUAGCCUUCGGUAUUAUUGAAAAUGGUCAUUCAUGGCUAUUUUCGGCAAAAUGGGGGUUGUGUGGCCAUUGAUCGUCGACUAGAGGCUCAUACACCUCACCCCACAUAUGUUUCCUUGCCAUAGAUCACAUUCUUGGAUUUCUGGUGGAGACCAUUUCUUGGUCUAAAAUCCGUAGGUGUUAGCCUCUAGUAUUAUUGAAAAUGGUCGCUCAUGGCUAUUUUCAAGGUCGCUCAUGGCUAUUUUCAUAAAAAUGGGGUUGUGUGGCCAUUGAUCAUCGACCAGAGGCUCGUAAACCUCACCCGACCAUUUCUUGGUCAAAAAUCCGUAGGAGUUAGCCUUUGGUAUUAUUGAAAAUGGUCGUUCAUGGCUAUUUUCGACAAAAAUGGGGUUGUGUGGCCAUUGAUCGUCGACCAGAGCUCAUACACCUCACCCCACAUAUGUUUCCUUGUCGUAGAUCACAUUCUUGGAUUUCUGGUGGAGACCAUUUCUUGGUUAAAAAUCCGUAGGUCUUAGCCUCUAGUAUUAUUGAAAAUGGUCGCUCAUGACUAUUUUCAUAAAAAUGGGGGUGUGUGGCCAUUGAUCAUCGACCAGAGGCUCAUACACCUCACCCCACAUAUGUUUCCUUGCCAUAGAUACAUUCUGGAUUUCUGGUGGAACCAUUUCUUGGUUAAAAACUCGUACGUGUUAGCCUUCGGUAUUAUUGAAAAUGGUCAUUCAUGGCUAUUUUCGACAAAAAUGGGGGUUGUGUGGCCAUUGAUCAUCGACCAGAGGCUCGUACACCUCACCCCACAUAUUUUCCUUGCCAUAGAUCACAUUCUUGGAUUUCUGGUGGAGACCAUUUCUUGGUCAAAAAUCCGUAGUGUUAGCCUUUGGUAUUUUGAAAAUGGUCAUUCAUGGCUAUUUUCGACAAAAAUGGGGGUUGUGUGGCCAUUGAUCAUCGACUAGAGGCUCAUACACCUCACCCCACAUAUGUUUCCUUGCCAUAGAUCACAUUCUUGGAUUUCUGGUGGAGACCAUUUCUUGGUCAAAAAUCCGUAGGUGUUAGCCUUCGGUAUUAUUGAAAAUGGUCGUUCAUGGCUAUUUUCGACAAAAAUGGGGGUUGUGUGGCCAUUGAUCAUCGACCAGACGCUCAUACACCUCACCCCACAUAUGUUUCCUUGCCAUAGAUCACAUUCUUGGAUUUCUGGUGGAGACCAUUUCUUGGUCAAAAUCCGUAGGUGUUAGCCUCUAGUAUUAUUGAAAAUGGUGCUCAUGGCUAUUUUCAAGGUCGCUCAUGGCUAUUUUCAUAAAAAAUGGGGGUUGUGUGGCCAUUUAUCAUCGACUAGGCUCAUACACCUCACCCCACAUAUGUUUCCUUGCCAUAGAUUACAUUCUUGGAUUUCUAGUGGAAACCAUUUCUUGGUUAAAAACUCGUACGUGUUAGCCUUCGGUAUUAUUGAAAAUGGUCAUUCAUGGCUAUUUUCGGCAAAAUGGGGGUUGUGUGGCCAUUGAUCGUCGACCAGAGGCUCAUACACCUCACCCCACAUAUGUUUCCUUGUCGUAGAUCACAUUCUUGGAUUUCUGGUGGAGACCAUUUCUUGGUCAAAAAUCCGUAGGUGUUAGCCUUCGAUAUUAUUGAAAAUGGUCAUUCAUGGCUAUUUUCGGCAAAAUGGGGGUUGUGUGGCCAUUGAUCGUCGACCAGAGGCUCAUACACCUCACCCCACAUAUGUUUCCUUGUCGUAGAUCACAUUCUUGGAUUUCUGGUGGAGACCAUUUCUUGGUCAAAAAUCCGUAGGUGUUAGCCUUCGAUAUUAUUGAAAAUGGUCGUUCAUGGCUAUUUUCGACAAAAAUGGGGGUUGUGUGGCCAAUGAUCAUCGACCAGAGGCUCAUACACCUCACCCCACAUAUGUUUCCUUGCCAUAGAUCACAUUCUUGGAUUUCUGGUGGAGACCAUUUCUUGGUCAAAAAUCCGUAGGUGUUAGCCUUCGGU
RNAcentral lists this long non-coding RNA (2006 nucleotides) under Zea mays. RNAcentral's name for it is "long non-coding RNA (ZMAY_LNC005813)". The record is from RNAcentral. Lineage: Eukaryota; Viridiplantae; Streptophyta; Magnoliopsida; Poales; Poaceae.